UGUUUAAAGUUAGAUACUAUUUUUCUUCUUUAUUUUGAAAUUUAAUUUAACAAACACAUGAUUUGACAUGAUUAAAUUCUGUUAGUAAUUGGGGAAAAUUUUACACAUGUCCAAAAUUUGCUUUAAAUUGGAUACAUUAGGGGCCAGAUUUACUCUUGCUAUAAUUUCAAGAUCAAAACUGUUAAUGGCUAAACGUUGAGGAUCCGAUUUACUUUUGUCAAAACUUUAAGGACUAAAAUUGAAUGGGUGCUAAAUAUUGGAGAUUAAAACUGUAGUUUUUUCUUUUAUAAGAAUUAAUUUUUUAUUUGCUAGAAUUCACUUUCAUGAUCAAUGCAUGCUCAUGUUUUCCUAUAAAAGGUAGGAAAAAUCAUCAAUUUAGUU
This 381-nucleotide long non-coding RNA is filed under the name Coffea arabica (coffee). Its description in RNAcentral is "long non-coding RNA (CARA_LNC002681)". Lineage: Eukaryota; Viridiplantae; Streptophyta; Magnoliopsida; Gentianales; Rubiaceae. The record is from RNAcentral.